AUGUGUAGGAUAGGUGGGAGGCUUUGAAGCGUGGACGCCAGUCUGCGUGGAGCCGACCUUGAAAUACCACCCUUUAAUGUUUGAUGUUCUAACGUGGACCCGUAAUCCGGGUUGCGGACAGUGUCUGGUGGGUAGUUUGACUGGGGCGGUCUCCUCCUAAAGAGUAACGGAGGAGCACGAAGGUUGGCUAAUCCUGGUCGGACAUCAGGAGGUUAGUGCAAUGGCAUAAGCCAGCUUGACUGCGAGCGUGACGGCGCGAGCAGGUGCGAAAGCAGGUCAUAGUGAUCCGGUGGUUCUGAAUGGAAGGGCCAUCGCUCAACGGAUAAAAGGUACUCCGGGGAUAACAGGCUGAUACCGCCCAAGAGUUCAUAUCGACGGCGGUGUUUGGCACCUCGAUGUCGGCUCAUCACAUCCUGGGGCUGAAGUAGGUCCCAAGGGUAUGGCUGUUCGCCAUUUAAAGUGGUACGCGAGCUGGGUUUAGAACGUCGUGAGACAGUUCGGUCCCUAUCUGCCGUGGGCGCUGGAGAACUGAGGGGGGCUGCUCCUAGUACGAGAGGACCGGAGUGGACGCAUCACUGGUGUUCGGGUUGUCAUGCCAAUGGCACUGCCCGGUAGCUAAAUGCGGAAGAGAUAAGUGCUGAAAGCAUCUAAGCACGAAACUUGCCCCGA
Molecule: ribosomal RNA, 669 nt
Filed under: Salmonella enterica subsp. enterica serovar Infantis
Lineage: Bacteria; Pseudomonadati; Pseudomonadota; Gammaproteobacteria; Enterobacterales; Enterobacteriaceae
Also listed under: 2 other names
Description: partial 23S ribosomal RNA
Rfam family: Bacterial large subunit ribosomal RNA
Source: RNAcentral